This 68-nucleotide transfer RNA is filed under the name Ictidomys tridecemlineatus (thirteen-lined ground squirrel). RNAcentral's name for it is "Spermophilus tridecemlineatus (thirteen-lined ground squirrel) tRNA". It matches the Rfam family "tRNA". From Rfam's summary of the family: Transfer RNA (tRNA) molecules are approximately 80 nucleotides in length. Their secondary structure includes four short double-helical elements and three loops (D, anti-codon, and T loops). The record is from Rfam by way of RNAcentral. Lineage: Eukaryota; Metazoa; Chordata; Mammalia; Rodentia; Sciuridae.
GUGGUGGCUCAGAGGUAGAGCGCUUGCCUAGCACGCAUGAGGCACUGGGUUCAAUCCUCAGCACCACA